CGGGGUGUAGCGCAGUCCGGUUAGCGCACCUGCUCUGGGAGCAGGGGGUCCCAGGUUCGAAUCCUGGUACCCCGA
This 75-nucleotide transfer RNA is filed under the name Tannerella sp. CAG:118. Its description in RNAcentral is "transfer RNA-Pro(TGG)". It matches the Rfam family "tRNA". Rfam says of the family: Transfer RNA (tRNA) molecules are approximately 80 nucleotides in length. Their secondary structure includes four short double-helical elements and three loops (D, anti-codon, and T loops). Lineage: Bacteria; Pseudomonadati; Bacteroidota; Bacteroidia; Bacteroidales; Tannerellaceae. The record is from RNAcentral.